AGUGAACGCUGGCGGUAGGCCUAACACAUGCAAGUCGAACGGCAGCACAGUAAGAGCUUGCUCUUACGGGUGGCGAGUGGCGGACGGGUGAGGAAUACAUCGGAAUCUACUUUUUCGUGGGGGAUAACGUAGGGAAACUUACGCUAAUACCGCAUACGACCUACGGGUGAAAGCAGGGGAGCUUCGGACCUUGCGCGAUUGAAUGAGCCGAUGUCGGAUUAGCUAGUUGGCGGGGUAAAGGCCCACCAAGGCGACGAUCCGUAGCUGGUCUGAGAGGAUGAUCAGCCCCACUGGAACUGCGACACGGUCCAGACUCCUACGGGAGGCAGCAGUGGGGAAUAUUGGACAAUGGGCGCAAGCCUGAUCCAGCCAUACCGCGUGGGUGAAGAAGGCCUUCGGGUUGUAAAGCCCUUUUGUUGGGAAAGAAAAGCAGCAGGUUAAUACCCCGCUGUUCUGACGGUACCCAAAGAAUAAGCACCGGCUAACUUCGUG
This 492-nucleotide ribosomal RNA is filed under the name uncultured bacterium. RNAcentral's name for it is "partial 16S ribosomal RNA". It matches the Rfam family "Bacterial small subunit ribosomal RNA", at positions 29 to 507 of the family's 1533-position model. The record is from RNAcentral.